GGGCGUGUGGUCUAGUGGUAUGAUUCUCGCUUUGGGUUAACAGCCUGGCGAAGCUUCGAUAAACGAAGUUUAACUACUGCAAGCAUGCGAGAGGCCCUGGGUUCAAUUCCCAGCUCGCCCC
Molecule: transfer RNA, 121 nt
Filed under: Kluyveromyces lactis
Lineage: Eukaryota; Fungi; Ascomycota; Saccharomycetes; Saccharomycetales; Saccharomycetaceae
Rfam family: tRNA
About the family: Transfer RNA (tRNA) molecules are approximately 80 nucleotides in length. Their secondary structure includes four short double-helical elements and three loops (D, anti-codon, and T loops).
Source: Rfam by way of RNAcentral